This 380-nucleotide ribosomal RNA is filed under the name uncultured eukaryote. RNAcentral's name for it is "partial 18S ribosomal RNA". It matches the Rfam family "Eukaryotic small subunit ribosomal RNA", at positions 592 to 976 of the family's 1831-position model. The record is from RNAcentral.
CAAUAGCGUAUAUUAAAGUUGUUGCGGUUAAAAAGCUCGUAGUUGGAUUUCUGCUGAAGGCAGCCGGUCCAUGUUCGACGUGCGCAUCUGGAUUGACUUCGGCAUCCUCUCAGAUAACGAUUCUGUGCUUGAUUGCAUGGAGCGGAGUUUGAGACUUUUACUUUGAGGAAAAUAGAGUGUUCACGGCAGGCAAUCGCCCUGAAUAUAUUAGCAUGGAAUAAUAAAAUAGGAUCUUGGUUCUAUUUUGUUGGUUUCUAGAACGAAGAUAAUGAUUAAUAGGGACAAUUGGGGGCAUUCGUAUUAACGCGUCAGAGGUGGAAUUCUUGGAUUGCGUUACGACGAACUACUGCGAAAGCAUUUGCCAAGGAUGUUUNCAUUGA